ACAAGGUGUUUGAUAAAAUGCUUAAGAGAGCUUUGUUGAUGAAUUCCCAAGGAUUCUGUGUUGUUUGUACAAAUGGACCCCUUUGGGGUAUUUAUAGAAGUAUACAAUCUAUUUACAAGCCCUAAACCGCCUUACAAGGUCGGCAAAAGCAAUCUGGAACAUUCCCGAGCGCUCAUGACACUGUCCAGAAGCUUCUGGAAGCGUCUGGGGCCGUCUGGCGCGCGCGCGGGCCUUCUGGAGGCGUGUCGUGCGCGCGCGUCUGCGUGCGUCUGGAGUGCGCGCGCCUUCGCACGUGUUCGCGAGCCUUCUCGACCGCUCGCGAUUCUUCUGGAACCUUCGAGAGGUUCCCGGAUGCUUCUCCGCGCGCUCCGUGUGCUCCGUGUCCGCUUCCGUGCGCGUCCGCUUGUCUGCCUGCCGCCCUUGCGCGCGCGCGCGCCCAUGUCAUUACAGGGCCGCGCGCGCCAAUCUCCUGCACAUUGGCGUGUCAUAGGCUUGGCGUGAACUUGCUCCUCUUCCUUGGGUCUUUGGACUGCUUGGGACUUGGUUGGCUCCUCUUGGGCAAUGCUAAGGAGCCUUAAUUUGCGAAAAAUCUGUUGGGUCAUUUUUGGGGCGUGACACCCUCCCCCACUCGAUUUCGCAACGUCCCCGUUGUGCUUUCUUGAAAUCUUCUGAUUUCAUCUUGAAAUUGCCAUAGGGUGUCUUCCUUUUCCCAACUUGCUUCGCUUUCGGGUAGUCCUUCCCAAGCAAUUAAAUAUUCGUUAUAACUGGGGACUCCUCUCCCUUGUGUCUUCCAUUCUGCUAAGAUCUCCUUGAUUCUUUUGUUGGAUUCUGAGAUCAUGGCAGUAGGAACAACAGCAAGCUCUGCCUUUCGACUUAAGGCGUCAGCAACUACAUUAGCUUUGCCCGGCUUGUAUUGUAGUUGAAAAUCGAACUCGGCAAGAAAGUCUUGCCAUCGAGCUUGCUUUGGUGUGAGUUUCUUCUGUGUCUGAAAGUAGCUGGUUGCCACAUUGUCUGUCAUCACCGUGAAUUUACUGCCUAAUAGGUAGUGUCUCCACGUUCGUAGGCAGUGGACGAUAGCAGUCAUCUCCUUUUCUUGCACGGUGUAUCGUCGCUCCGUAUCAUUGAGUUUGCGACUUUCAUAGGCUAUAGGAUGGCCUUCCUGCAUCAAGACGCCCCCUAUUGCAAAGUCUGAUGCAUCGGUGUGCACCUCAAAUGGUUUGGUGUGAUUAGCCAAGGUCAUCACGGGCUCUUUCGAGACGGCUUCCUUCAAUCUGUCAAAGGCUUGCUGACAUUCCCCACUCCAAUGCCAGGUUUGGCUUUUCUUUAGUAAGUUGGUGAGGGGUGCAGCAACAUUUGAGUACCCCUUUAUGAAUCUACGAUAGUAGUUCACGAACCCUAAAAAUGAUCGCAACUCCGGGAUUUUAGUAGGGGGUUUCCAAUCAAGUAUGGCACGUACCUUUGAUGGAUCCAUCAUUAACCUGCCUUCUCUAAUCCAAUGUCCCAAAAACUCCACUUCUGGUUUAGCAAAUGAGCAUUUUUCCAGCUUUAUAUAUAACUCGUUGUCGCGGAGUACCUGGAAUACUUGUCUGAGAUGUUGAACAUGUUCUUCCAUGGUCCGACUGUAUACUACAAUGUCAUCCAGAUACACAACAACAAACUGAUCUAGGAAUGGCUGGAAGAGUUUGUUCAUGAGAGUGCAGAAAGUGGCCGGGGCAUUAGUUAACCCGAAGGGCAUUACUAAGAAUUCGUAAGCACCGUACCUGGUUACGCAUGUUGUUUUUGGCUCGUCCCCUUCCUUGAUUCUUACUUGGUAGUACCCUAAUCUCAGAUCGAUCUUACUGAACCAUCGGGCGUUACCAAGUUGAUCAAAUAAAUCGGCGAUCAGCGGUAUAGGGUACCUGUUUUCGAUGGUCACCUUAUUGAGGGCUCGAUAAUCGAUACAUAGUCUCAGUGACCCAUCUUUCUUUUUCUGAAAGAGCACAGGUGCACCGUAUGGGGCCUUCGAAGGUUGAAUGUAGCCAGCUUCGAGGAGCUCUUUCAAUUGCCUUUUUAACUCCUCGAGUUCUGGAGGGGCCAUUCUAUAGGGAGCCAUAGCGGGUGGUUUGGCUCCUGGUUCCAGCUCAAUUUCGUGAUCUACUUCCCUUCUCGGAGGAAGUUUCUUCGGUAACUUGGCGGGCAUGACGUCCUUGUAUUCUUCAAGGACUUUAUGUACUUCUUUGGGGACGGUAGUUUGGGUAGGACCAGUCUCUUCUGGUUGUGCCUCCUUUAGAGUAACUGCAUAGCACUCGUGUUUGGUAACCCCUCUCUUGAAUUGCAUGGCUGAGAGCAUGGUCACUGGCCUUCCCUUCUUCAAUGGGAUGGUUGUUAUUUGACCAUCCACUAUAGUGAGGGUACUUCCGGAAGAAUUGAUGAUGGCAAUUACCUUAUUGAAGAACCCUAAGCCAAGCACAAUGUCAAAGUCAUCCAUAGGUAGCACGGUGAAGUCGAGCUUACCUUGCCACUCACCGAUCUUGACUGUUACACCUCUUGCUACACCUUUGAUGGCUUGUGCUUCUGAGUUUACCGCCUUGACAGUCCCCUCUUCGUUUGUGAACUUGAGGCCUAUUCUCUUAGCCUCAUUCACGUUCAUGAAGUUAUGACUCGCACCGGUGUCAAACAUGGCAAUAGCCUCUCUCCCGUUUAUCUUUACAUUUCCAUGGAGUAGGCCUCCUUUAGUUGUUUGAUUGGCCUGUUUCAGCGACUCCUUCCUUCAAAUGUCACGUGGUUAGAAUCUGAAGCUAACCAUACGUGCGGCACUUGGCUAACUACGAUGCCCACAUAGCCAAGUAAGCCUUUCCCGGAAGGGGUAGUGCGCCAAGCACUACGCCAAUGGGUUGCAGCGGAAGUACUUAGGUUGGUUGCAAGACACGAGAGAGGUUGGAAGGAUGAGGGAGUUUGGAUGGACACGUCUUGGAAAUGAUACAUUGCAUUCCAAGAAUAGAUGAAUACAUAUUUGGGUACAAAUAUGCUGUCUUCUUGUCAUGGGGAUACCAUGGGCAAGGAGACUUUGGGUGGCAAGGUGACCUUGCUUGGCUAAGACAUGCCAAGAUACAAGGUUGCAAGGCUUACUUGGCUAUGUGGGCAUCGUAGUUAGCCAAGUGCCGCACGUAUGGUUAGCUUCAGAUUCUAACCACGUGACAUUUGGUAUCAGAGCUCCAAUGUGUUGCAAGGAACCAAUCUGUGGUGUAUCAUCUCCUUGCUUGGACUCGAGCAAUUUGGCAACAAGUGCAUUCAUUGCUUUUCUAUUCGGACAGUCUCUUGUCCGAUGAGGGCCAUUACAAACAAAACAGGGAGAAGGUUUGGACGACUCACCUUGUUGAGUUUUGUGAUACUUGCCAUGUCUUUGGAAUGCCUUCUUUCCCUUUUCCUUUUGCUCGGAGUCUCUAUGCUUGUAGUGAUUGCCUUCACGUUUACUUGGACUAGGUUUUCUCUCCUUUGAUUGGGUUGUAUAAUCGAUAAGCAUCUCAGCUGCGGCUAUAGCAUCGUCCAAUGUUUGGACAUUGCGACGGUCUAGCUCAACCUUGGCCCAAUCUUUCAAUCCAUCUCUAAAUUGGAAUAGGGCUUCCUUCUCGGGCAGAUCACUAAUUUCAAGCAUAAUAGUGGUAAAUUCCUUCACAUAGUCGAGAAUGUUACCUGUGUGUCGUAGCCUUCGAAGUUUGUCUCUUGACUCCAUUUCAGCAUUGUGGGGAACAAAGUGCUUUCUUAGCUCGGCCUUGAAUUGUUCCCACGUCUGGAUGGCAUUUCCAUUUUGGUCAGCGUAUCUUCGACGCCACCAAAGUUGUGCGGCAUCCCUUAGGAAUGUCGGGGCAUUGUUUAUCUUGGCCUCAUCAUCUCGAACACCGACAGCUACAUAGUAUCGGUCAAGGCCAAAGAGGAAGUUUUCCACAACCGUGGCAUUCCUCACCCCAUUGUAUGUGUCAGGUUUCGGCACUUUUAUGUGAGUAGUGCCUUACACAGCAGUGUGUGUACUGGUGGAUGGACCGUCUCCACCAAAGUGCUUGGAACGACAUUCCAUGCAAAGAGUAUCUACCUUUGCAUCUAGGGAAAUAUACUUAGAAUAGAGUUCGCGUAACUCACCUUCAACAAAUGUCUUCAAAGUGGUUACGGUUGAUGACAACUCCUUCAAAUCCUUUUGGAAUGUUUUUCCAAGGUCGGCCACGAGCUCCUUGGUUGCUGCGGAGAUUUCCACAUUCUCCUGAAUAAGCUCUUCGUAGUUAUCACCCAACUCUUCUACCGUGUGCUGGACAUCCUCGAGACUUUGCUCAAGGUUGGCAAGGCGAGUUUCGACAUGCUCCCUUGCAUCCGGACCCUUAGAUUUCGAUCGUCGGGUCGGGGAUCGUCGGUCCUUCCUACCUCGUGUGAUAGGUCCUUCAAGAACCUGCUCAGCUUGGGCUGAAAUGUGGCCUUCUUCGCUGGACAUCUUGUUCACAAGUCAACUGGGAUUAAGUGGGUGUAGAAACUGUGUUCCGUUACUUUGACAACGUUUCAAGAACUAGAGUCUUGAAUCUUGGUCUCUCGAUAUCGUGCACUUGAUAGCAACGAUCAAGAGUAUGUCCCUUUGAACGAACACGCUCUGAUACCACCUGUCACGUGGUUAUUUUAAUCACAAAACCAACGUGCGGCACAAAGGUGUUGGGGUUGCACCAAUGUAAGCCUAAGAGUAAUUGGACUUGUUGGAACAAACUAAGGAAGAAGGAAAUUCGUAGGUAAGAAGUAGGCAAAGAGUUGUAGACAAGGUGUUUGAUAAAAUGCUUAAGAGAGCUUUGUUGAUGAAUUCCCAAGGAUUUUGUGUUGUUUGUACAAAUGGACCCCUUUGGGGUAUUUAUAGAAGUAUACAACCUAUUUACAAGCCCUAAACCGCCUUACAAGGUCGGCAAAAGCAAUCUGGAACAUUCCCGAGCGCUCAUGACACUGUCCAGAAGCUUCUGGAAGCGUCUGGGGCCGUCUGGCGCGCGCGCGGGCCUUCUAGAGGCUUC
Molecule: long non-coding RNA, 5015 nt
Filed under: Cucumis sativus (cucumber)
Lineage: Eukaryota; Viridiplantae; Streptophyta; Magnoliopsida; Cucurbitales; Cucurbitaceae
Description: long non-coding RNA (CSAT_LNC001943)
Source: RNAcentral